Long non-coding RNA from Helianthus annuus (common sunflower), 173 nucleotides. RefSeq lists it as uncharacterized. The transcript is spliced from 3 exons. NCBI's taxonomy places the organism in Eukaryota, Viridiplantae, Streptophyta, Magnoliopsida, Asterales, Asteraceae. The record is from RefSeq and is a predicted model, not a curated record.
UCGAUCUUCAGUUUGGAGAGUUAGCAGUAAACGCCCAGGGGGUGAUGUUGAGAAGUGGAUUGAUGUGAUUCGGAUCGGGUUAGAGGGUAUAACGGUUAAUGAUGCGAAUAAAUCGUUUAAUGGAGUCUGUUCUAGGCUCGAGGAUAUGCUGGAUAGUUUGUCGACAUUGCUUU